GUGAGUCUCUAGGGGAUUAGCAAGCUAUAAUUUCUCACUUAAUCCCUGAACGACUUGCAG
Molecule: microRNA precursor, 60 nt
Filed under: Drosophila melanogaster (fruit fly)
Lineage: Eukaryota; Metazoa; Arthropoda; Insecta; Diptera; Drosophilidae
Description: microRNA dme-mir-4919 precursor
Source: miRBase by way of RNAcentral